UCUCUCCUUUCAUGACGACCCUCGAGAGUCGGCGGGUCUCCUCACUCGUGGUGGCGAUUCUCUCACCCAGUGUGAUGAUUCUCGCACAACGCUUGCUGCCAAAUUUUUCAUGCAGCUCUUCUUUCCUGAAUUCAUAUCCAUCUUUCCCCCCUUUUGUUUUCUCAGUCUCGUUUGUCCCAGUUUCCACAUCUUCGAUUUAAGAUUCUAUUGGGACAUCGACAACUUACCAUUUGAAAGUGAUGUAUCCAACUGGUUAUGUGCGGCCUUUAAGCUCGGGUGGAAACACUAGGUUUUUCUCUUUGCAAUGCUUUGGUUCACUUGAUGUUGGAGAAGAUUGGUUAUUUUGGUCUUGGUGGCUGGGACUUUCAACGUUUGAAUGCUUGGUUCGGUUUGGGCCUGUUCUGCUCUUUGUUGUUGGUACUUUUCUAGUUUUAAUUUUGUUUAGUUUGUGAAUCAGCUUGUUGUAAGUGUAAGCUCUUGCGCUUUUUGGAUGAAAUUUUGACCCCUCACAAAAAAUGUAUGUGUCUUUGAUAUAGAUUAGCUCCAGUAAUAGGUAAGUAAUUUCCUAAUACCAAGGUGGGUUGGAUUCAUUUCGUUGUCCUAGAUGUGUGCUUCCAUAACUCCAUCGCUCUUGUAUGUCUAUGUGAUAGGUGGAUCUCAAAACUAUUUUUCAGUGGCCGUGUUUAAUAUGGUUCAAGUGUAAUAGUUGUGUUUUGCUUGCUUAUGUUGUGUGAUUUAUGCGUGAUUUAGUUCAGGGCAGAGACUUGCAGUUUGUUCUUGUUCAUCAACUCUUCUUAUGGGUUACAUUGAUUGCAUCAUAAGCCAACUGAAAAACAGGUUUCCCUGCCUAGAUCUCACACCAAAGCAGAAAAGUUCCAAAUUUCCCCAGCACUAGUGAGUUACACAGCGGAACUUCAUGAUUUUCUCAAUAUGACUCCAACCGGAUAUUCUGUAGUAUAGACAUGGAGAUUCUUACUACAGUUGCUGGAGACAGUUCCCGAGUAUGCAGUUGAACCUCGACAGAUGAGUGGCAUCCACCACCUCAACAAUAGGUGGAGCAGGCUGCUCAACGUGCGAUGUCUCCACCUCAUCCUCAUGGUAAACCUCAUCCACAGGAGGGAUCAUACCUCUUCCUCUGGUCCUACCCCUGCCUCUGGGUCUACCUUGGCCCCUAGCUUUGCCUCCUUGUGACUCCAUCACCUAAGGAGCAUAGCACACUUGGUUAAUACUUGCAUAACUCCU
Molecule: long non-coding RNA, 1242 nt
Organism: Rosa chinensis
Lineage: Eukaryota; Viridiplantae; Streptophyta; Magnoliopsida; Rosales; Rosaceae
Exons: 3
Source: RefSeq, a predicted model, not a curated record